RNAcentral lists this long non-coding RNA (5420 nucleotides) under Hordeum vulgare. RNAcentral's name for it is "long non-coding RNA (HVUL_LNC003482)". The record is from RNAcentral. Lineage: Eukaryota; Viridiplantae; Streptophyta; Magnoliopsida; Poales; Poaceae.
CCAGUUUCCCCACGUCGCCCACUCCCGUCACUCGCUCCCACCUCUACCGAGCGCGCCAUGUCCUUUGUCCUGUGAAGCUCGCGACCACCGCCAUCGCCACGACCUGCAAGAUUGCCAAGGAGCUCCGGUGAGCUUGUAUACGUCGAUCCCGAGGAGCAGCUUCAGCUAGAGAUCGCCACGACGCCGGGACUAAUCGCUCCUUCCUCUUCGGUCGUCGGUGCCUCUCCGACAAAAUUCGACGCCGCUGCUGCUACUAACCUCUCGUCGGGCCUUCGUGUGCCUUCACGGUGAUCCGCCACGCCACAUGCACUCCUUCAUUUUCUCUCUAGCCGUCCCUAGCGUCGGUUCUGUUCUCUGCUAGCUCCGGUCGCCGUGUGUCGUUGCUGCUCCCGCUAGCUCCGGCCAUCCCGAGCGCCCAUCGAUGUCGCGCACGCCAACGAGUUUGUGGUCCUGCUAGGAAGCCUGCAUGCCUUUUUGUCUGCUUUAGUUCACGCGCAAUCGCGAUGCACACACUACCACCAAGCGCCGCCGCCGCCAUUUGUCGACGGUGUGCUCGCUCUUGGGUCUUGGCCACCAUUGUUCCUACCGUCGCCACCCAUCAAUGCAGCGCAGCCUCACGGUCCCGUAUGACCAAAACGCGUCCCAAAUGGUCGCCGGAAUCAACCACACAGCCACCACGGGCGCUCGGACUCGCCGCUAGUGACGCGGCCGACGUGGCUUCAUUAGCCACUAAUGACCCCCUAGGCUGGUCACAAUGGGGAGUAACAUUGAGUAGUAACAUACAUGACACAUAAGCAUGUUACUACUCUAUGUUACUACCUUCAUAGUGGGUGGUAACUUAGGGGUGGUAACUUAGAGGUUCAUUUAUUGCUUUUGUGGGAUCUAUAGUAGCAUUUUAUAAAGAAACAACCUCUAGCAUUAAAAAAGUCUCGUACAAAGCGUGAAGUUACGGUAACCACGGUGGUUACUCCAAUUCCUUCUCUCCUCAUUAACUCACUGCCACGUAGGAAAUUUUGCUGAGCUGGACAUGAAGUUACCACCGAAGUUACCUGCAUUGGGGCCAGCCUUAUUUACCUAAUGCCAUUGACAGUAGGCCCCACUUACUAAUUAAACUUAGUUAAACUAACUGAACCUAGAUUUAUUAACCACUCUCACAAACUAUUGGGUCCCACUAGACCUAGUUGAGCAAGUCAACCUGUUGACUCGGUUAGCCCCAAUCAAUGAGAGGUGGGUCCCUGUUGACCAAGUUGACUAGUCAAUUGAUUAAUAGUUGACCUGGUUACUCAUCAGGUUGGACCCAUGUGUCAGCCCCACAUGCACAUUGUUGGGUACACUCCUGUGUUCCCAUAGAAAAUUAUCAUUUUAUUUUUGAAUUAAAAUAAAUCGUGUAAUUUGAGAAUAAUGUUGAAACUUUAAAAAUUAAUAUAAAAUAACCUAUAAGUCAAAUGAAAAUAAUUGAUGUAUGAAAGUUGCUCCGAAAAAUCCCAUGAAUCCGAAUACGAUGUAUUUUCAUCUCUCACAUGCUCCUAGCAUGAUGAACAUGAACAUUUUGCGUUAGGUUCAUUUGUCCGGUAGAAGCCCGAGACCUGAGAAAUACCGUUGGAUAUUUCCCUGCUCAAUCUGUGAUGUGUAGUACCGCGUUAGCUCAUCCCUAGCACUGCACAUUCCCAUGCCAUGCAUCGUGUUACAUGUGCUUGCUUUUAUUUAUUUUUCUUCCCCUCUUCUCUCCGGUAGAUGGUGAAGCCGACGCUGCUGCCGGGUAAGACUACACCGGUGACGAACUAACGACCAACCUUUUGCAGUAGAGCAACAAGGCAAGCAAAAAACCCAUGAUCAUCCAUAUAUCACCCAUUUUUUCUCACUCAUGCUCACAUUAGAUUUUGCUAUUUUUGUAGAUAGCUCUUAUUCUGACGCAUAGCCCGCUUUUGUUAAACUCUGGUUGUACGCUACUACAUAUUAAAUGCAUAGUAUAGGUCGAUUAGUGAUCCCGAGUGACCCCACUUAGCAUCAGUUGCCCCUGCUUCAUCAUCGAAGACUUAAUGACUUGAAGACUCGGAGACGCGAAGACUCGAUCAUCUGAUCGGCAAUCCAUGACCCGUCACAUCACUUCACACCCCCUUAGUUGUACGACUGUGCAGAGCUACUAUCGAUUACUGAGGGUGAUACCUCGUGAUGUACUCCUCAUGUUAACUAUGUAGUGUAGUUAACCAGCGGUGGAUUACGGAGGUAAUUCCUCCUUCACCACUUCUGGUAAUGACUGUGUCGUGCAACCCCUCAAGCGUGAACCACCGAGGGUGAUUCCUCCCUGGUCACCUUGAUGGUUACAUCGAUUGUAAUCCAUCGAGGGUGAUACCUCAGAUUCCUCUCAUGUUAUAAACACACGGUUACUUUAACUUCAAUACUGGAACAUGAUGAAAUGUUCGGUGCAUGUGGAUUCCCGCGUGAUUGUGAUGAGGCGUGGUCGGACAUUCUUGGCCCUUGCCAUAAAUCCUCGAGAUGGGGCGACACGACCACAUAUCUGUUGGGGAACGUCGCAUGGGGAAAAAAAAUUCCUACGCGCAUGAAGACCUAUCAUGGUGAUGUCCAUCUACGAGAGGGGAUGAGUGAUCUACGUACCCUUGUAGACCGUACAGCAGAAGCGUUAGUGAACGCGGUUGAUGUAAUGGAACGUCCUCACGUCCCUCGAUCCGCCCCGCGAACAAUCCCGCGAUCAGUCUCACGAUCUAGUACCGAACAGAGGGCACCUCCGCGUUCAGCACACGUAUAGGUCGACGAUGAUCUCGGCCUUCUUGAUCCAGCAAGAGAGACGGAGAGGUAGAAGAGUUCUCCGGCAGCGUGACGGCGCUCCGGAGGUUGGUGAUGAUCUUGUCUCAGCAGGGCUCCGCCCGAGCUCCGCAGAAACGCGAUCUAGAGGAAAAACCGUGGAGGUAUGUGGUCGGGCUGCCGUGGAAAAGUCGUCUCAAAUCAGCCCUAAAACAUCUGUAUAUAUAGGUGGGAGAGAGGGGGCCUUGCCUUGGGGCUCAAGGAUCCCCAAGGGGGUCGGCCGAGCCAAGGGGGGGAAGGUCUCCCCCCCAAACCGAGUUGGACUUGGUUUGGUGGGUGGGAGUCCUUCCCUUCCCACCUCCUCUUUUUUUUCUCUUUGAUUUUUGUUUCUAAUGCGCAUAGGGCCCUUUUGGGCUGUCCCACCAGCCCACUAAGGGCUGGUGCGCCACCCUCAAGGCCUAUGGGCUUCCCCGGGGUGGGUUGCCCCCCCGGUGAACUUCCGGAACCCAUUCGUCAUUCCCGGUACAUUCCCGGUAACUCCGAAAACCUUCCGGUAAUCAAAUGAGGUCAUCCUAUAUAUCAAUCUUCGUUUCCGGACCAUUUCGGAAACCCUCGUGACGUCCGUGAUCUCAUCCGGGACUCCGAACAACAUUCGGUAACCAACCAUAUAACUCAAAUACGCAUAAAACAACGUCGAACCUUAAGUGUGCAGACCCUGCGGGUUCGAGAACUAUGUAGACAUGACCCGAGAGACUCCUCGGUCAAUAUCUAAUAGCGUGACCUGGAUGCCCAUAUUGGAUCCUACAUAUUCUACGAAGAACUUAUUGUUUGAACCUCAGUGCCAAGGAUUCAUAUAAUCCCGUAUGUCAUUCCCUUUGUCCUUCGGUAUGUUACUUGCCCGAGAUUCGAUCGUCAGUAUCCGCAUACCUAUUUCAAUCUCGUUUACCGGCAAGUCUAUUUACUCGUUCCGUAAUACAAGAUCCCGCAACUUACACUAAGUCACAUUGCUUGCAAGGCUUGUGUGUGAUGUUGUAUUACCGAGUGGGCCCUGAGAUACCUCUCCGUCACACGGAGUGACAAAUCCCAGUCUUGAUCCAUACUAACUCAACUAACACCUUCGGAGAUACCUGUAGAGCAUCUUUAUAGUCACCCAGUUACGUUGCGACGUUUGAUACACACAAAGUAUUCCUCCGGUGUCAGUGAGUUAUAUGAUCUCAUGGUCAUAGGAACAAAUACUUGACACACAGAAAACAGUAUCAACAAAAUGACACGAUCAACAUGCUACAUCUAUUAGUUUGGGUCUAGUCCAUCACGUGAUUCUCCUAAUGACGUGAUCCAGUUAUCAAGCAACAACACCUUGUUCAUAAUCAGAAGACACUGACUAUCUUUGAUCAACUGGCUAGCCAACUAGAGGCUUGCUAGGGACAGUGUUUUGUCUAUGUAUCCACACAUGUAAAUGAGUCUUCAUUCAAUACAAUUAUAGCAUGGAUAAUAAACGAUUAUCUUGAUACAGGAAUUAUAAUAAUAACUAUAUUUAUUAUUGCCUCUAGGGCAUAAUUCCAACAAUAUCAUGUAUCAUUGAUCAUCUCCGUGGUUAACAAAAAAUUAAUGGGAUUGGGUAUUUGAUCUGAGUUGGUCAAUUGACCUUUUUUUGCACUAACCUUCACGCGGGGAUAUUUAUGGGCAUUCAACGUCACUGUAUCACUCGAAGCUCUUCAGACGUCAGCAUUGGAGAGGCGCGCGCCCGAGUGGUCCGCAUAUGCAUUGAUCUUGUAUAAGAGGUGCUAGGAUUGAUCUCGUCUGCCCACACAAUGUGUAGGAGUGCAAAGGGAGAUGGGUCCAAGACCCUUGCUCGCUUACAAUUUAGACAGGCGGGCUGGCCUCUUGGUUGAGCCUAGGUAGGUCUACGACGUGUUGAUCUUCUAAGGCCGGACAUGACCUAGGAAAGUGUGUCCGGUCGGAGUUGAUCAAGCGUGUUGGGAAAUGUGGUGCACCCCUCUAGGGAUGAUAUAUCUGUUCGAAUAGUUGCGUCCAUGAUAAUAGGACGACUUGGAGUUUUAUCCCGAUCUAACACAACUAGAAUUGUGACUUAACUUGAAUGAUUGGCUCCGAGAUUGCUUCCUCGGAGGGAGUCAAGGAAGAAUCUCUGGGCAUGAGUCAAUAAAUUUGCUGCAACAAUAUGACUACAUAUGUGUUACUGAUCUACACUCUUCUAAUGUUCCAUGACACUGAAGAUGCUAGUAUUUGAUAAGACUAGACCUUUUGUCUAUUCUCGCAUUUCUGCAUUCAGUACAAAGAUAUAGCCCCAUUCCUUUGAUAUUGAUGCAUAUUUAGCAUAGUUUUGAUGUUAGUCUUGCGAGUACUUUGUAUGAGUACUCACCGUUGCUUUGCUCCCCCUUUUUCCUCUUGAUACGAUUGCCGCGACAGGUGACGGUGCCCAGGAGAUGGUAGAUCCCAUCGACAACGACUACUACCCCGACAGAGCCUACUACUAUGUGGAGGCUGCUGACGACCAUAGUAAUUAGGAGGUUCCCAGACAGGAGGCCUUGCCUCUUCGAUCUAUGUUAUGUUUGUGCUAGCCUUCUCAAGGCAAAACUUGUUUAUUUAUGUCUGUACUCGGAUAUUAUUUUCUUCCGCUGACUCGUUUGUAUUCGAGC